UAGGGAAUCUUCCGCAAUGGACGCAAGUCUGACGGAGCAACGCCGCGUGAGUGAAGAAGGAUUUCGGUUCGUAAAACUCUGUUGUUAGAGAAGAACAGCGCAUAGAGUAACUGUUAUGCGUGUGACGGUAUCUAACCAGUAAGGGACGGCUAACUACGUGCCAGCAGCCGCGGUAAUACGUAGGUCCCGAGCGUUGUCCGGAUUUAUUGGGCGUAAAGCGAGCGCAGGCGGUUAGAUAAGUCUGAAGUUAAAGGCAGUGGCUCAACCAUUGUAGGCUUUGGAAACUGUUUAACUUGAGUGCAGAAGGGGAGAGUGGAAUUCCAUGUGUAGCGGUGAAAUGCGUAGAUAUAUGGAGGAACACCGGUGGCGAAGGCGGCUCUCUGGUCUGUAACUGACGCUGAGGCUCGAAAGCGUGGGGAGCGAACAGG
This 428-nucleotide ribosomal RNA is filed under the name Bacteroidota bacterium. RNAcentral describes it as "Bacteroidetes bacterium partial 16S ribosomal RNA". It matches the Rfam family "Bacterial small subunit ribosomal RNA", at positions 355 to 776 of the family's 1533-position model. Lineage: Bacteria; Pseudomonadati; Bacteroidota. The record is from RNAcentral.